UCGUGCUAGAUGGGGAGGUAGCGGUGCCCUGUAACCCGCAAUCCGCUAUAGCGGGGUUGAAUUCCUAUUAGCGGGCAUCUCCAUGUAAGGUCUGACUUAUGCAAGUGGUGUUGACAGUUGGGUCCUACGCAACGGAAACCCAUGAACCCCGUCAGGUCCGGAAGGAAGCAGCGGUAAGUGGAAUUUUUCGUGUGUUGUGGGGUUGCCUAGCUUGAGCUAACUACAUGAGUUCGCUUGGAUGGGAUGUUCAAUAAUAGGUGCACGG
Molecule: signal recognition particle RNA, 265 nt
Filed under: Tepidibacillus decaturensis
Lineage: Bacteria; Bacillati; Bacillota; Bacilli; Caryophanales; Bacillaceae
Also listed under: 2 other names
Description: Bacterial large signal recognition particle RNA
Rfam family: Bacterial large signal recognition particle RNA
About the family: The signal recognition particle (SRP) is a universally conserved ribonucleoprotein involved in the co-translational targeting of proteins to membranes. Archaeal SRP consists of a 7S RNA and homologues of the eukaryotic SRP19 and SRP54 proteins.
Source: Rfam by way of RNAcentral